RNAcentral lists this ribosomal RNA (420 nucleotides) under uncultured bacterium. RNAcentral's name for it is "bacterial SSU rRNA". It matches the Rfam family "Bacterial small subunit ribosomal RNA", at positions 358 to 770 of the family's 1533-position model. The record is from RNAcentral.
GGAAUAUUGCACAAUGGGCGCAAGCCUGAUGCAGCCAUGCCGCGUGUAUGAAGAAGGCCUUCGGGUUGUAAAGUACUUUCAGCGGGGAGGAAGGCGACGGGGUUAAUAAACCUGUCGAUUGACGUUACCCGCAGAAGAAGCACCGGCUAACUCCGUGCCAGCAGCCGCGGUAAUACGGAGGGUGCAAGCGUUAAUCGGAAUUACUGGGCGUAAAGCGCACGCAGACGGUCUGUCAAGUCGGAAGUGAAAUCCCCGGGCUCAACCUGGGAACUGCAUUCGAAACUGGCAGGCUAGAGUCUUGUAGAGGGGGGUAGAAUUCCAGGUGUAGCGGUGAAAUGCGUAGAGAUCUAGAGGAAUACCGGUGGCGAAGGCGGUCCCCUGGACAAAGACUGACGCUCAGGUGCGAAAGCGUGGGGAGCA